This 254-nucleotide ribosomal RNA is filed under the name uncultured bacterium. RNAcentral describes it as "partial 16S ribosomal RNA". It matches the Rfam family "Bacterial small subunit ribosomal RNA", at positions 524 to 776 of the family's 1533-position model. The record is from RNAcentral.
UACGUAGGGUCCGAGCGUUUGUCCGGAAUUACUGGGCGUAAAGAGCUCGUAGGUGGUUUGUCGCGUUGUUCGUGAAAACUCACAGCUUAACUGUGGGCGUGCGGGCGAUACGGGCAGACUUGAGUACUGCAGGGGAGACUGGAAUUCCUGGUGUAGCGGUGGAAUGCGCAGAUAUCAGGAGGAACACCGGUGGCGAAGGCGGGUCUCUGGGCAGUAACUGACGCUGAGGAGCGAAAGCGUGGGGAGCAAACAGG